GCUGGGCAUGGUAGUGUGUGUCAGUAGUCCCAGCUACCUGGAGGCUGAGGCAGGUGGAUCACUUGAGCCCAAGAGUUCUGGACUGCAGUGGGCUAUGAUGGUGCCACUGCACUCCAGCAUGGGUGACAGAGCGAGAUCCUGUCUCAA
This 147-nucleotide signal recognition particle RNA is filed under the name Chlorocebus sabaeus (green monkey). RNAcentral's name for it is "Metazoan signal recognition particle RNA". It matches the Rfam family "Metazoan signal recognition particle RNA". From Rfam's summary of the family: The signal recognition particle (SRP) is a universally conserved ribonucleoprotein. It is involved in the co-translational targeting of proteins to membranes. The record is from Rfam by way of RNAcentral. Lineage: Eukaryota; Metazoa; Chordata; Mammalia; Primates; Cercopithecidae.